GACAGAGGUGCCAAGCGUUAGGCGGAAUCACUGGGCUUAAAGCGUGUGUAGGCGGAUUGGUAAGUACCUUGUGAAAUCCCACGGCUCAACCGUGGAACUGCUGGGUAUACUGCCUGAUCUUGAGCCAUUCAGAGGCGAGCGGAACAAAUGGUGGAGCGGUGAAAUGCGUAGAUAUCAUUUGGAACGCCUAAGGUGAAAACAGCUCGCUGGGGAUGCGCUGACGCUGAGACACGAAAGCCAGGGGAGCAAACGGG
RNAcentral lists this ribosomal RNA (254 nucleotides) under uncultured bacterium. RNAcentral's name for it is "partial 16S ribosomal RNA". It matches the Rfam family "Bacterial small subunit ribosomal RNA", at positions 524 to 776 of the family's 1533-position model. The record is from RNAcentral.